Molecule: ribosomal RNA, 521 nt
Filed under: Arthrobacter tumbae
Lineage: Bacteria; Bacillati; Actinomycetota; Actinomycetes; Micrococcales; Micrococcaceae
Description: bacterial SSU rRNA
Rfam family: Bacterial small subunit ribosomal RNA
Source: RNAcentral
GGCGCAAGCCUGAUGCAGCGACGCCGCGUGAGGGAUGAAGGCCUUCGGGUUGUAAACCUCUUUCAGUAGGGAAGAAGCGAAAGUGACGGUACCUGCAGAAGAAGCGCCGGCUAACUACGUGCCAGCAGCCGCGGUAAUACGUAGGGCGCAAGCGUUAUCCGGAAUUAUUGGGCGUAAAGAGCUCGUAGGCGGUUUGUCGCGUCUGCCGUGAAAGUCCGGGGCUUAACCCCGGAUCUGCGGUGGGUACGGGCAGACUUGAGUGAUGUAGGGGAGACUGGAAUUCCUGGUGUAGCGGUGAAAUGCGCAGAUAUCAGGAGGAACACCGAUGGCGAAGGCAGGUCUCUGGGCAUUAACUGACGCUGAGGAGCGAAAGCAUGGGGAGCGAACAGGAUUAGAUACCCUGGUAGUCCAUGCCGUAAACGUUGGGCACUAGGUGUGGGGGACAUUCCACGUUUUCCGCGCCGUAGCUAACGCAUUAAGUGCCCCGCCUGGGGAGUACGGCCGCAAGGCUAAAACUCAAA